RNAcentral lists this microRNA precursor (67 nucleotides) under Egretta garzetta (little egret). RNAcentral describes it as "mir-33 microRNA precursor family". It matches the Rfam family "mir-33 microRNA precursor family". The record is from Rfam by way of RNAcentral. Lineage: Eukaryota; Metazoa; Chordata; Aves; Pelecaniformes; Ardeidae.
CUGUAGUGCAUUGUAGUUGCAUUGCAUGUUGUGGCAGUAACUGCAAUGUUUCUGCAGUGCAGUACAG